AAACUAUUGGGCUAGAGUGUGGGAGAGGAAGAUGGAAUUAGUUGUGUAGGGGUAAAAUCCGUAGAGAUAACUAGGAAUACCAAAAGCGAAGGCAAUCUUCUGGAACAUUACUGACGCUGAGGCGCGAAAGCGUGGGGAGCAAACAGGAUUAGAUACCCUGGUAGUCCACGCCCUAAACGAUGAAUGUUAGUCGUCGGGUAGCUAGUCUAUUCGGUGAUGCAGCUAACGCAUUAAACAUUCCGCCUGGGGAGUACGGUCGCAAGAUUAAAACUCAAAGGAAUAGACGGGGACCCGCACAAGUGGUGGAGCAUGUGGUUUAAUUCGAAGAUACGCGAAGAACCUUACCUAGCCUUGACAUAUAUUAGAACACUUUAGAGAUAGAGUGGUGCCUUCGGGAGCUUUUAUACAGGUGCUGCACGGCUGUCGUCAGCUCGUGUCGUGAGAUGUUGGGUUAAGUCCCGCAACGAGCGCAACCCUCGUCACUAGUUACUAACGGUUCGGCCGAGGACUCUAGUGAGACUGCCUUCGUAAGGAGGAGGAAGGUGAGGACGACGUCAAGUCAUCAUGGCCCUUACGGCUAGGGCAACACACGUGCUACAAUGGCCAGGACAAUGAGAAGCGAUACCGCGAGGUGGAGCAAAUCUAUAAACCUGGUCUCAGUUCGGAUUGUAGUCUGCAACUCGACUACAUGAAGCUGGAAUCACUAGUAAUCGUAGAUCAGCUAUG
RNAcentral lists this ribosomal RNA (726 nucleotides) under hypersaline lake metagenome. RNAcentral's name for it is "bacterial SSU rRNA". It matches the Rfam family "Bacterial small subunit ribosomal RNA", at positions 630 to 1356 of the family's 1533-position model. The record is from RNAcentral.